UAUAUAUAUAUAUAUAUAUAUAUAAUAUACCGCUAAUUACCAGAAAUUAUAACCAUUAUUCAGAUUGGUGUAGAUUAUAGUAUAUAACUAUUAAAGAUUGAUCCCCAUACAGUGGAAAAAGUGUAUGCGAACCGCUCACAGUCUGAUGAAUCCCCCCAUGCAUACGUGCAUUAUUAUCAUGACAUGAACUCAAUGACAAUGCAUUUGAUGUUAUUUUUAUCUUAUGUAUAAGGCCUACGUGCAGCUUGGGAAACACUAUAUACAACUGCUUCAGUCAGCCGAAGGAUGGGGUUAUUGAAUAUCGAACAGUAAGUAUAUAUAACUAGUGCUUUAAUUACACGCCCCAAACCUCGGUAAAGCAAGAAUUUACAGCUAGGUUUUGUUAUCUGGUGUGAUAACGUUUUUACGCCUGAAUUUUGCAUAAGGGUUUUGUCUUCUUAAAUGUUUCGUUUUAUAUGAACAUUGCCAAAAUGAUAUUAAUUUGAAUAGCAGUGCCCAGUUCACAAAAUCCGAAAGAUCACCAAACCAAAGCAUACAUGUAGAUACAAAAAUCUUCAAAAUUUAGAAGUAUAAGAGUACAUUCGUGCAAGAAAAUAACAAUUUUACCCUCUGCCUUUUAUAGAAAUAUUGGAAUUGCAAACUUUGGUCAUGCACAUUCUCAUUUUGGUCGCUAUCCAGAUUGAUGAUUGAAGACCCUUGCAGUAUAUAUACAGUACUUAAAAUCCAGGAGCAAGAAUAUCUAUAUAUACAGCGUGUCAUAUAAAACAUGCAUGCAUUGUGCUUUCCCCGUGAUUAAGCCUAUAAUUUUAACUUGUGUAUAUCUGUAACCGUGUAUAAAAACAGGAUGAAA
RNAcentral lists this long non-coding RNA (850 nucleotides) under Paramuricea clavata. Lineage: Eukaryota; Metazoa; Cnidaria; Anthozoa; Malacalcyonacea; Plexauridae. The record is from RNAcentral.